UAGGUUGAACCUACACGCAUGCGCCCAAAGCGCGGGAUUUGAGGUGGGUGGGCCCACUGCUUCCCGCUUUCGCCUCCCAAAGCGUUUGCGGCAGUCUCGCGAGAUUUCUCCUUCUCGCGGGAAUUAUUUGAACGUCUGGGCGGUAAAGACUCCCUGGGCACCUGGGUCCCGCUCUCUGCAGCCUGAGGAGAUUCCACUGAGAGCUCUGCCUCAGGGCUGGCGGGGGAGGAGGGCUGGCUGUAGCCAAGCGCGGGCAGUACUCGUCCCGGCAGGGUCCCAGAGCCAUGGGAGCGGAAAAGAGGCUGCUGUCAAUCAAGGAGGCUUUUCGGCUGGCGCAGCAGCCGCACCAGAACCAGGCCAAGCUGGUGGUGGCUUUGAGCCGCACCUACCGCACGACGGAUGAUAAAACAGGUUUUCAUGAGAAGUUCGUUCAUUACCUUAAAUAUGCUAUGGUGGUCUAUAAACGUGAGCCAGCUGUGGAGAGGGUAAUAGAAUUUGCAGCAAAGUUUGUUACUUCAUUUCACCAAUCGGAUAUUGAAGAUGAUGAGGAAGAGAAAGAUGAUGGUCUUUUAAAUUAUUUGUUUACUUUUCUCUUAAAGUCUCAUGAAACAAACAGCAAUGCAGUGAGAUUUAGAGUGUGCCAGCUUAUAAACAAGCUUUUGGGAAGUAUGCCAGAAAAUGCUCAGAUUGAUGAUGAUGUGUUUGAUAAAAUUAAUGAAGCCAUGCUUAUUAGAUUGAAAGAUAAGAUUCCAAAUGUGAGAAUACAGGCAGUUCUGGCGCUUUCACGACUUCAGGAUCCAAAGGAUGAUGAGUGCCCAGUGGUUAAUGCAUAUGCUACUUUGAUUGAAAAUGAUUCAAAUUCAGAAGUUAGACGGGCAGUGUUAUCAUGUAUUGCACCAUCAGCAAAGACUUUGCCAAAAAUUGUAGGGCGCACCAAGGAUGUGAAAGAGGCUGUCAGAAAGCUGGCUUAUCAGGUUUUAGCUGAAAAGGUUCAUAUGAGAGCUUUGUCCAUUGCUCAGAGAGUAAUGCUCCUUCAACAAGGUCUUAAUGACAGAUCAGAUGCUGUGAAACAAGCUAUGCAGAAGCAUCUUCUCCAAGGCUGGUUACGGUUCUCUGAGGGAAAUAUCUUAGAGCUGCUUCAUCGGUUGGAUGUAGAAAAUUCUUCUGAAGUGGCAGUCUCUGCUCUCAAUACCUUGUUUUCAGUGACUCCCCUCAGUGAACUGGUGGGAAUCUGUAAAAACGAUGAUGACAGGAAAUUGGUUCCAGUGGAAACAUUAACUCCUGAAAUUGCUUUGUAUUGGUGUGCCCUUUGUGAAUAUUUGAAAUCAAAAGGAGAUGAAGGUGAAGAAUUUUUAGAACAGAUUUUGCCAGAGCCUGUAGUAUAUGCAGACUAUUUACUGAGUUAUAUUCGGAGCAUUCCAGUUGUUAAUGAAGAAAACAGAGGUGAUUUUUCCUAUAUUGGAAAUUUGAUGACAAAAGAAUUCAUAGGUCAACAAUUGAUUCUAAUUAUUAAGUCUUUGGAUACCAAUGAAGAAGGAGGAAGAAAAAAACUGCUGGCUAUUUUGCAGGAGAUUCUUACUCUACCCACAAUCCCAAUAUCCUUGGUUUCUUUUCUUGUUGGAAGACUACUCCACAUCAUUAUAGAUGAUAAUAAGAGAACACAAAUUGUUACAGAAAUUAUCUCAGAGAUUCGGGCGCCCAUUGUUACUGUUGGUGUUAAUGAUGAUCCAGCUGAUGCAAGAAAGAAAGAACUCAAGAUGGCUGAAAUAAAAGUUAAGCUCAUCGAAGCCAAAGAAGCUUUGGAAAAUUGCAUUGCCUUACAGGAUUUUAAUCGGGCAUCAGAAUUAAAAGAAGAAAUAAAAGCAUUAGAAGAUGCCAGAAAAAACCUUUUGAAAGAGACAGAACAACUUGAAAUUAAAGAAGUCCACAUAGAGAAGAAUGAUGCUGAAACAUUGCAGAAAUGUCUUAUUUUAUGCUAUGAACUGUUGAAGCAGAUGUCCAUUUCAACAGGCAUAAGUGCAACUAUGAAUGGAAUCAUCGAAUCUUUGAUUCUUCCUGGAAUAAUAAGUGUUCAUCCUGUAGUAAGAAACCUGGCUGUUUUAUGCUUGGGAUGCUGUGGACUACAGAAUAAGGAUUUUGCAAGUAAACACUUUGUAUUACUAUUGCAGGUUUUGCAAAUUGAUGAUGUCACAAUAAAAAUAAGUGCUUUAAAGGCAAUCUUUGACCAACUGAUGACGUUUGGGAUUGAACCAUUUAAAACUAAAAUCAAAACCCUUCAUUGUGAAGGUACAGAAAUAAACAGUGAUGAUGAACAAGAAUCAAAAGAAGUUGAAGAGACGGCUACAGCUAAGAAUGUGUUGAAACUCCUUUCUGAUUUCUUAGAUAGUGAGGUAUCUGAACUUAGGACUGGAGCUGCGGAAGGACUAGCCAAGCUGAUGUUCUCUGGGCUUUUGGUCAGCAGCAGGAUUCUUUCUCGUCUUAUUUUGUUGUGGUACAAUCCUGUGACUGAAGAGGAUGUUCGACUUCGACAUUGCCUAGGCGUGUUCUUCCCCAUGUUUGCUUAUGCAAGCAGGACUAAUCAGGAAUGCUUUGAAGAAGCUUUUCUUCCAACCCUGCAAACACUGGCCAAUGCCCCUGCAUCUUCUCCUUUAGCUGAAGUUGAUAUCACAAAUGUUGCUGAGUUACUUGUAGAUUUGACAAGACCAAGUAGAUUAAAUCCUCAAGCCAAGAUUUCUCAAGAUUAUCAGGCCUUAACAGUACAUGACAAUUUGGCUAUGAAAAUUUGCAAUGAGAUUUUAACAAGUCCGUGCUCACCAGAACUACGAGUCUAUACAAAAGCCUUGAGUUCUUUAGAACUCAGUAGCCAUCUUGCAAAAGAUCUUCUGGUUCUAUUGAAUGAGAUUCUAGAGCAAGUAAAAGAUAGGACAUGUCUGAGAGCUUUGGAGAAAAUCAAGGUUCAAUUAGAAAAAGAAAAUAAAGAAUUUGGUGACCAAGCUGAAGCGACACAGGAUGCCAGCUUGACUACAACUAUUUUUCAAAAUGAAGAUGAAAAGAAUAAAGAAGUAUGUAUGACUCCUCUGAGAGGUGUAAAAGCAACCCAAGCAUCAAAAUCUACUCAGCAAAAGACUAACAGAGGACAAAGAAAAGUGACAGUUUCAGCUAGGACAAACAGGAGACGUCAGACUGCUGAGGCUGAUUCUGAAAGGUAUGUCAUGCAUGUCUAGACUAAUAAAGGCCUAUAUUCACUUUUUAUGUCUAGAAGUAGAAACAAACUAAUUUUCUUGUGAUUGAGAGAAAAUAUAUAACAUAGUCUAAAAUUCCAUUAUCAAGAGCAUUUGACUUAUGGCUUGUUUGCUUUUGCCUAUUAGUUGGCAUGGUCUUUAGUAUUGCCUUUAAUAUGUUGUUUCAGUUUCUAAUUACAUGACUAUAUAUGAUUCCUCUUUGAUCUUUAGUUAACAAAUUCUUGAUUUUGAUAAUAAUUGGGUUCUCUAUACUUACAAUGAUAGAAUACUUCUGUCUAUAACUUGGAUAUAUUGUGUGUUAGAGUGUUUAUUUUUGACUUCUGUCAAGCCACUGUUAGGAGUUGAAAGUUGGUAGCUGUCUUGUAUUCAUUGGCAAAAUUGUAUUAUUUGUAUUUUCAGUAUGUAUCUUUACACUGUCUUGAUUAAAUUCAAGUGUAUUUUAAGGGGAAACUUGUUUUUUACUGUGUUUUCAAAAUUUAUUGCUUAAAUCAAGAGAACUUAAUUUUUUUUCCACUUCUUGAGUUUCAAAGAAAUCUCUUUUGGACAGUUAUGGUCCUCGUUUAAUUACAAGCUUCAUUACAAGUUUGUGGGUUUUUUUCCUGUAUAACACCAGGUUCCCUUAUACUAUAUUAAAUCAUUACCUAAGUUUUGCCAUGAUUUACUUUGCUGAAUAGCUAAGUCAGUGUUUUUUGAUAUUGUUUGAGAAUUUAGUUUUCAGCUAAGUCAAUGGAAUCAGGCUAUCAAUUACACACUGAUAGAAUGUGAGUCAGAAACAAAAACGUUUUAUUUAUAAAUUAGCUGGUUUUAAAACUUAUAUCUAAAUUCAUGUAUUUUCAACAUCUAGUGAUCAUGAAGUUCCAGAACCAGAAUCAGAAAUGAAGAUGAGACUACCAAGACGAGCCAAAACAGCAGCGUUAGAAAAAAGUAAACUUAACCUUGCACAAUUUCUCAAUGAAGAUGUGAGUUAGAAAAGAUGAUGGAGGUGGAAUCCUUUAAAAUUAUGUCCAGUUACUUGCUUUAAUAAAGUUACCUUUGUCAAAAU
RNA transcript from Sapajus apella (tufted capuchin), 4284 nucleotides. It is a transcript of the gene named non-SMC condensin I complex subunit G, with no coding region annotated. The transcript is spliced from 21 exons. The record is from RefSeq and is a predicted model, not a curated record. NCBI's taxonomy places the organism in Eukaryota, Metazoa, Chordata, Mammalia, Primates, Cebidae.